RNAcentral lists this ribosomal RNA (305 nucleotides) under uncultured bacterium. RNAcentral's name for it is "bacterial SSU rRNA". It matches the Rfam family "Bacterial small subunit ribosomal RNA", at positions 335 to 655 of the family's 1533-position model. The record is from RNAcentral.
UGCCUACGGGGCGCAGCAGUUGGGAAUAUUGGACAAUGGGGGAAACCCUGAUCCAGUGACGCCGCGUGAAGGAAGAAGGUCUUCGGAUUGUAAACUUAUUUUAUCAGGGAAGAAAAAAAUGACUGUACCUGAAGAAGAAGCACCGGCUAACUACGUGCCAGCAGCCGCGGUAAUACGUAGGGUGCAGGCGUUAUCCGGAUUUACUGGGUGUAAAGGGCGAGUAGACGGCGUUGCAAGUCAGAUGUGAAAGGCUAGAGCUCAACUUUAGGACUGCAUCUGAAACUGUAAUGCUAGAGUGCAGGAGA